UACGAAGGGUGCAAACGUUGCUCGGAAUUAUUGGGCGUAAAGGGCGCGUAGGCGGCUAGAUGUGUCAAAGGUGAAAUCCCUCGGCUCAACUGAGGAACUGCCUUUGAAACUGUCUGGCUUGAGGCCGGGAGAGGGUAGCGGAAUUCCCAGUGUAGCGGUGAAACGCGUAGAUAUUGGGAGGAACACCAGUGGCGAAGGCGGCUACCUGGACCGGUUCUGACGCUGAGGCGCGAAAGCGUGGGUAGCAAACAGG
Molecule: ribosomal RNA, 253 nt
Filed under: uncultured bacterium
Lineage: Bacteria
Description: partial 16S ribosomal RNA
Rfam family: Bacterial small subunit ribosomal RNA
Source: RNAcentral